This 72-nucleotide transfer RNA is filed under the name halophilic archaeon J07HX5. Its description in RNAcentral is "tRNA-Ala". It matches the Rfam family "tRNA". Rfam says of the family: Transfer RNA (tRNA) molecules are approximately 80 nucleotides in length. Their secondary structure includes four short double-helical elements and three loops (D, anti-codon, and T loops). Lineage: Archaea; Methanobacteriati; Methanobacteriota; Halobacteria; Halobacteriales. The record is from RNAcentral.
GGGCCCAUAGCUCAGUGGCAGAGUGCCGCCUUUGCAAGGCGGAGGCCUUGGGUUCAAAUCCCAAUGGGUCCA